GUGUUCUAAAACUUCAUAGGGGUGGUGGGUAUACAACUGUAUACAAUGUAUGCUUAAAAUGUAUUAUACUUUAUUGUGUAUAAAUUAUAGCUCAAUGAAAUAGUUUUUUAAAAACCCUGGGUUGAUUAGAUCUGUAAGUUACUAGCUAUGUGACAUUAACCAGAAUGGUUUUUUUUCCUUCAGAUAUGCCUAUUCUGUUUCAUCAGUUUUCAUUGCUCACAAUCACACAUUUUAUUUUUAAAGUGAACAAUUCUAUAAUGUACUGCAGUUAUUGGGCUUACAGAUAAUUCUUACUUCCACUGGCAGAAAUAUAUACUUAUCUGCACUGCUACUUGCUCUAUCUCGUAAGAUUGUUGUGAAACAUCAAAUAAGAUAACUGAUGAGAAAGUUCUUUGGUAACUGUAAAAUAGUAUUACGCAACUAUAUAGUAGACUUUACAUUUUUGAAAAACAGACGUGAAAAUGUUUUUUCAUAUGAGCGACUUGAGACCCUUGUAAACCUAGGUACCCAAAGUCAAUCUUUGCCCAGAAAUAGAAAGCAGUUGUCUAUUCAAAUGCCACCUUUGAAAUAUCCUAUCGAAACCUGUUUCCUACUGUCGCUUGAGUUAGUAGAUGGCUCAAUGUAGUAUCAUCUAAGCUGCACUUUCAUUUUUCAAAGGAAAAACACUAAAGAAAUGUUUAGAGAGAGACAGAUGAGCAUGACACAUUUAUUUUUCAGGGGAAAAGAGAGAUACGUAGAAAAAUGUCUUCAAUUCCAUAUGCAUUUACUGAAUGUUUCCUGAUGAGAUCUGCAUUAGCAAGAGAGAGUGAAUAAUUUUAAGAAUAGCAAAAUUUCUUAAACCAGUGUGGCACAAUCAUUUCAACUUUGCCUGUUCCAAAAUUUGACAGAUUCUCUCUUUUUUUGUUGUUUCUACUACUGUUGUACAACUGGGCUCUUUGCUAUCCUACCAAGUUUGUGUGGUAUUUGACAUUUAGCCUAGUUAUAUUUGCAAGUUUCCACACUGCAAUAUUUACAAAGGCUGUUUGGACAUAAUCUCCUCAGGUUUAACGACUAAAUUUCACCUUGAAUUCAGGUUUAUAUCAAAUCUUACAAUUCUGAAAAGCUACUCUGCCAGCAACAGGUACUACAACGAAAAAUCAACAAAGCCUGUACCACCACAAAAUGCUCUGCUAACAUUUUCAAUUUUUAAGACUCCUUUUCAGUAACAGUUCUAAAGAGGAAGAAUCUACGGCCAAUUCCAAGGCCAGAUUUCAUUUAAUGUUGUCUUGCUUCAGUAGUAACUCUAAACUCAAGUUUCACAUUUCUCCUUCGAUAACAUUAAGGUCGCUCGGUCCGGUUACCGCACACCUCCAAUUUUAGCGUCCAAGAAACCUGAAAGAACGGCACCUUGCCUACUUGCUCCUCCAGCCUUCUCUCAACUCAGAAGCUUGGCCAAACGUGCCGCUCUCUCCACAACGCCAACGGAGCUGGAACGCAGCGCCCGGAGGACAACUGGUCACGGGGAGGAGGGGAGAACUUCGCCGCCCGGAGUACGGCGGCUGAGGUCCAAUCCAGCCCGCGCCCAACUCUACUCGGUGCCAGGAAGGCGUGUGGACCCGAAGUCUCAGGCCGCGGUGCUAGAUCCGGAGGAGCAGAGUCGCGCGUGGCUGGGGUCAGAAGCACUAUCACAUAAAGACUUCUGAUCCUGAAUCAAACCAUAUGAGAAAAAUUACAAGACAAGAACACAUUUAAAAAUGGAGGUAGAGGAAACAACACUUUUGAGUAAAGUGCAACUGGUGAUUGUGCCAACAUAUGCUAACCCACAGCCCACAACUGAGGCUGAUACUGCCUGGCAGCACUCCAAUUACCACCUCUCAUCAAACAAGUCUUCAGUUGGAAUUAGUUGCUUCACAUGUCUAGUGCCUCUACUCAGCAUAUAUUACUAUCACACCCUGAUUGUCCUUCCCACUCCCUCUUCUUGGAACAUGACUCAUAUCCUAAGACUUGGAUGCAGUAGGCGCCUGUCCUCCUCUGCCUCUCCCGAGGUGAGUGUGCACCCAGUGUGCCCCCAGCUCAUGCCCAUCACAUUGGGUUGGGAACUGUCUAAUCAUGCAUAUCUUCCCUAAGCAGAGUCCCUGGGCCAGGGCACUCACUGGAGAUACAUCUUUGUCUGGGGCAGGCAUGAGGGUUUCUCAAAGGGAAGUACACAGGCCCAAGCAGGGGCAGAUCCAUUCACCAGCCCACUUGGCCCACCAUGGGCUCAACAUCAUUCAUGUGCCUGAUUAACUCAACACCUCAAAAUGUCCACCCAAACCUUAGUACUUCCCAAAGACACAGGAGAGGUUCCUGGGGUGGGCUGCACCAGGCAAGAGUUCUCAGUGCCAGUGACAGCCGUUUUCUGGUCAAAGAAUUCACCUAAGCAUCUCCUAUGUGCCCGGCAUUGUGCUAAGUGCUUUGCAGGCAUAAUCUCAUUUGUUCCUCACAAAAAUAACUUUAUUUUUCUUUCUUUUAUUAAAACAUUUUUAAAGGAUAAAAUCCAGGCUAGGUGCAGUGACUCA
Molecule: non-coding RNA, 2537 nt
Organism: Macaca mulatta (Rhesus monkey)
Lineage: Eukaryota; Metazoa; Chordata; Mammalia; Primates; Cercopithecidae
Source: RefSeq, a predicted model, not a curated record